CCUACGGGAGGCAGCAGUAAGGAAUAUUGGUCAAUGGAGGCAACUCUGAACCAGCCAUGCCGCGUGCAGGAAGAAGGCCCUAUGGGUCGUAAACUGCUUUUGUACCAGAGAAAACCACAGUACGUGUACUGUGUUGAUAGUAUGGUAAGAAUAAGCAUCGGCUAACUUCGUGCCAGCAGCCGCGGUAAGACGAAGGAUGCAAGCGUUAUCCGGAUUCAUUGGGUUUAAAGGGUGCGUAGGCGGACUGAUAAGUCAGUGGUGAAAUCUCUCAGCUUAACUGAGAAACUGCCAUUGAUACUGUUAGUCUAGAGUAUAGAUGACGUUGGCGGAAUAUGACAUGUAGUGGUGAAAUACUUAGAUAUGUCAUAGAACACCGAUUGCGAAGGCAGCUAACGAAACUAUAACUGACGCUGAGGCACGAAAGUGCGGGGAUCAAACAGGAUUAGAUACCCUGGUAGUCCGCACCGUAAACGAUGAUUACUCGUUGUUGGCAAUAUGACCGUCAGCGACCAAGCGAAAGCGAUAAGAAUCCACCUGGGGAGUCGCCGGCACGGUGAAACGUCAAGGAUUGACGGCGNGAGAGNGCGACGGACGACGACGAGGGAGGAGG
This 610-nucleotide ribosomal RNA is filed under the name uncultured bacterium. RNAcentral describes it as "bacterial SSU rRNA". It matches the Rfam family "Bacterial small subunit ribosomal RNA", at positions 338 to 954 of the family's 1533-position model. The record is from RNAcentral.